RNAcentral lists this unclassified non-coding RNA (386 nucleotides) under soil metagenome. Its description in RNAcentral is "partial contains 5.8S ribosomal RNA, internal transcribed spacer 2, and large subunit ribosomal RNA". The stretch from base 1 to 120 matches the Rfam family "5.8S ribosomal RNA", at positions 35 to 154 of the family's 154-position model. The record is from RNAcentral.
GAUGAAGAACGUAGUGAAAUGCGAUAAGUAAUGUGAAUUGCAGAAUUCAGUGAAUCAUCGAAUCUUUGAACGCACCUUGCGCUCCUUGGUAUUCCGAGGAGCAUGCCUGUUUGAGUGCCAUGAAAUUCUCAACCUUUUCAGCUUUCUUUGUUGAUCAGGCUUGGAUGUGGGAGUAUGCGGGCUUCUCAGAAGUCGGCUCUCCUGAAAUGCAUUAGCGGGACCUUUGUUGCCUGGCUUUGGUGUGAUAAUUAUCUACGCCAUUGUAGUCAAGCAGCUUAAAAUGAGGUUUCAGCUUCUAACCGUCUCCCCUGAGACAACUUUUUGACAAUUUGACCUCAAAUCAGGUAGGACUACCCGCUGAACUUAAGCAUAUCAAUAAGCGGAGA